This is a long non-coding RNA of Equus caballus (horse), 5277 nucleotides long. NCBI's taxonomy places the organism in Eukaryota, Metazoa, Chordata, Mammalia, Perissodactyla, Equidae. The record is from Ensembl.
UUGCUCCAAAAGCAGGGGACAAUUUGUGGAUGUAAGAGACUAUUUCCAAGGGUUCCGUCUUCUAAAUAAGAGAAAACCCAGAUGCCAGACAGCCUCCCGACAGCAGAAGGCGCGUGUCACCAUCGCUAUGUGGACUGAUGCAGUCAAAGCCCUGCAAGAUGACCUGGCAUGUGUCAGGCACAGCAGAGGGAGAGGAACUUCAGAGUUCACACUCCUGGCUCCUGAGAAGACCUUGCGUGUAUGAACUCAGGUCCCAGACGCCUCAGGACUCUCCGGGUAAAUCAGAAAUAACACCACCAACCAACCACACAGAUCAUUAACACAUCACUAAGCUUCAAAUGAAGCCUAGAAAGUACCGGAACACACACUUCUUUUUCCAGGGACCUUCUUGGGCCACGCCUUUCUCAACCCAGGCUAUGCCCACUGAUGAUUUCUCUACAAGCGCUGACCAUUGGAGCUUGGUUUACAGGAGGGUCACACAAUAUGCGAGCAUUAGCAAGAAAUGGAUGACUGGAAACUUACAGCUUCGCUCAAGCACAUUCAUCCAGUCAACAAACAUUCAUCCAACAUCUAUACGUACUGGGCACUAUUCUAGAUGCCAAGGAUCCAGCAACAUCAAAACAGAAGUUUUGACUAUCAUGGAGCUUACAUUGUAAUGUGGAAAGAUGGACAAUAAACAUUAUAAAUAAGUAAGUUAGAUAGAAGAUUAAACACCUACGGAAAAAUAGAUCAAGAUGUGAGACAAGGAGUGCUGGUAUAUUGGUGGGAAUUGAAAUUCUCAAUAGUAGGUUCAAGCUUGGCUUCACUGUGAAGGUGACAUUUGGGCAAACACUUGAAGGAGGUGAGAGACUGAGCCACAAGGAUACCUUAAGAGAGCAAUCCAGAUAGAGGAAAGAGUCACUGCAGAGACCCAGGGUGGAAACACAGCUGGCGUGUUGGAAGAAGUGAAAAACGAAAGGCAACUCAAGAGUUUUGGCUUCUGGAACAAGAAUAAAAGAUCUUCUACCAAAUAUUGAGUUCCUCGGAAAGAAUCCUUUAAGACAAUUUUGUGUUGGUGAAAAGUGUCACAUCAGCAGCCGCAAAGUCUGAGUUUCUGUUUACUCAUCUAGCAGAGUGAAAGGCAGUGUGCAGGAGGGUGAGCAUGGACCCCAGAGCCAGAUCCGAACUCCACCCUUAUCAGCUCUGUGAUCUUUGGCUAUGGAACCUGAAGACAUUCAGGUUGUGUCCUGAGCCAUGUCAUGGAUGGGUGUCAGGCUGUGUCCCGGAUGUCAUGUCACGGAUGGGUGGCUGCAAAUCAGUCAGCCCUUUCUGAAAGCUUUUUUCUGCCCUUGGUGGAGGAAAACGAACAAGAACUUUGGAGGCGUGCAUAUGCGUGUGCACUGAAGGGAGGAUGCUGAGCUAAGAAUACAGAGAAGAAAUGAAAAAAACAAAAAGAACAAAGAUUUAUUUGCUAACUAAGAGGGCAUUCGCAAAUAUUUCUCCCACAUCCCAUCCAGAAAGAUUUCAAGGCCAGGAAAAUAAAAGCACCUGUCGGAUAUCAACUGAUUAAAGCUUCAGGGAAACCAGCAAAUGUCUUCAUUUUCCUAUUCAAGGACUCUUUUUAUAAUCAAACGCAAGAGGAGAAAGUUUUAAAUUUCCACUUUGGAGGAGUCUUGAAAUCCUAUAAACAGAAAUAUAAGCACCAUAAUUUUCUAAAUGUUAAGAGGCAAAAAGAAGGCACACUCAAGAAUAGGUCCAUCCUCUUGGGCUCCUGGGAGACAGUUGGGAAAUUGCUGUCUCUAUCAUGUGACGGUCAGUAGCCUUGGUAGUUGCCACCCACUUCCCAUGUCUGACCCACCCCAAGGUCAUGUCACCCCAUGUGUGUGAGUAAAAUACUACCAGGUCUUCCCAUUCUCACCAAGCAGCACCCACUCUUCCAUCCCUCUGUUGUUCCCUCAAGUUUCUCUCCUUCCAUCUGAAGGUAAUCUCUCCACUCUGCCCGGAUUUCAUGCUCUCCUAUCUACCUUCUCAAGAAUCUCACAUCAUCUAUCACUCCUUCUUUCCGGAAUUUAAACUUCCUUCUCUUCAGUGGUACCUUCUUGUUAUCAACACUUAAUCAUACUCAGUCUUUUUCACCUCACAAAACCUCCUCCUUCAGCUGCUUCCCUAUCUUCUGCUCCCCUUCACAGCCAGUCUUGGAGAUGAAGUCCUCACUCCGUCGAUUUCUUUUCCUUCCUCCUCCAUCAUUCCCAUCACCACUCUAAUGAAGCUGCUUUUGCCAAGGCCAUCAAUGUUCCCCAUGCCAUUUAAUCCAAUGGACCCUUUUCUGUCUCUGUGUGACCUCUUGGCAUGUUUCAGUCACUGUUUACUUAUAUCCUUGUCAGGGCUCUUCCCUCGGCUUCCUGAUGCCACUAUCUGCUGAGCCCCCAUCACACACUCCUCCUCCUCUCGAAACUCUCUCAGGGCACCAUCCCAGGACCACUGUGCCUUGCAUUCUGUACACUCUCUUUGAUGGUCUCAUCAAUCUCUAUGGCUGCCAUUAUCACCCAACCACUGAUGACCCACACAUGUGUCUCUUAGCAGACCUCCUGAGAUCCAGAUACAUGAUUCAAUUCUCUUUGAAUAACCUGUUGGGAUGGCCUGUAACUCAACAUGUCCAAAGAUGAACCUGGUCAGAGUGAUAUUUUUAAAACACACAUCAGAUGUCACCCCUCUGCACAACACCCUUCAGUGUCUACCCAUCCUGCUCUAAGGAAAUGUCUAAGGCAUUAUAAUGGCCCACAAGACCCUACUCAAUCUGUCUCCAUCCUUCUACUUCUAUGACCUUAUCUCCUACUAGUCUCCACCUUACUCAGACCACUCUAGCCAUGCUAGCCAGACAUGCUCCCAUCACAGAGCCUUUGCACUUGCUUUUCCUCUGUCUGUUCUCCCUCCAGAUAUAAGCACUUGUUUGCUCACAUUUUUGAAGACUCUGUUCAACUAUCGCCUCUUGGUAAGGCUAUCUCUGAAAAUCCUAUAUAAAAUUGCAACCCACGCCUCGACCUAACAUUCCUUAUCCUCUCCUACUAAUGUCUUUGUCUUUAUAACACUUGUAAAUAUCUGACAUAUCAUAUACUUUGUUUAUUUAUUGUCAAUUGCUCUCCACUAGAUUAUAGGCUACAUCAUGGCAGGAGUUUUGGUCCCUUUUGUUCAUUGUAUUCCUAAAGCCUCGAACAGGGCCUGACACAUAGGAUACAGUCAAUAAUUAACUGUGGAAUAAAUAAAUGAAUGAAUAUUCACCCCCUCACUCCCCCAACCUGCUAUUCAUCAUUUCAGUAAAUGGCAUUCCCAUCUACCCAGCUGCCCAAUGCAGAAACUGAGGGCCAGCUAGGACUCAGCUCACACUGCCAUUAACCCCUCACUCAGCCCUCUGGCUAGCUGCUGAAAGUUGUCUCCCUCUCCUACCUCCUGUCACAUAGUUAUUUCCUACUCUUCCCUCAGGUUCCAGCCUAAACAUCAUUUUUACAGACCAUGUCUGUUAUAUUUCCCUUUAAAUACCCAACUAGGCCUAAUACAUGUCUGGCCCAUACUAAGUGUUCAUCAAAUAUUUGUUGAAUGAAUAAAUGGCAUUUCUCAGAAAUGCCAGAUUAGGUUCCCCUGUUCUCUGUUGUUAUGGCACCCUGUAAAUUUCAUAUAACACUCAUCUCACUUUACGAUAAUUACUUUGUUUAAUGUCUUUCUUCUCUACCAGAUUAUAAGCUCUCUGAAAAUGGAGAUCUGCACGAAGGUGGGAAUGAGCAAGCGAAGGUCCUAAAACCCAGAAAGGCCUGGCCUGACUGUGAAAGGGUCGUGCUGCACCCUUUGGUUCCUGGUGAAUGAAUGAAUGAUGUAGGAUGAGGAGAAAACAGAAACAAGCUCUUCUACCCACUUCCAUUUCCAGCACGAGCUACUAUAGAUAACAAAUCACAGCUUUGACUGUUCCUGAAUUCCAGAAAUACAUCAUCAAAGGAGUGCACAUGGACAUCGAGAACCCCGACUCUGCAUUUUAUUAUAAUUUUUGUGAAUAUUAGUCAUAAAUUUACCAGUCAGUUUGAUUCAACCCUCAAAUUGAUUAAAUAACUAUGAAGCAUACAUAAUCACAUAAAACCAAGAUCAUCAAUAGCUAGAAUUUAUCCCAAUAGAUGAGGAACAAAUUUCUAAGAAGAUUCAAAGUCUGGAUGCUACGUCACUAUGGUGACAAGACAGUACUGCAAUCAAAUGUGAUAGAAGCUCUCACACUGACCAAGCUACUCGAUCUUCUAAGGCAAAACCCCAGUAAAUUAUUAUUUAUAGGCAUUCCCAUCAUAAUUAUUCUUUUAACUUUUAAAAUUAAAUUACGUUAUUACCUUAUAGCUUUGAAGACACAUACAUGUUGCCACUAGUAUCUAUUAUGGUCAUCGCUUCAUUAGAAAGUGACCCAGUCAACAUUUGGUUCUAACCUAUUUAACUGCCUCAUCUAUUUAGUUGCCCCAUUAGGGGCUUUUAGUCCAUUACAAGAAUUAUUUAAACUAUCACUGAUUUUGGCUCAAGGAGGAACAAAAUAAGAAAUAUAAUUUAUUGUUUUGAUAGAUUCAAAAGAGUUUUGAUGUUCUAACAGGCUCAAGUUAAGACAGCAGCCAUGAGCUAAAGAAAUAAGCCAUUCAGACAUAAACAGAAGAAUAUGAGUAAUUAUCUCUGUACCUCCUAUUCUCUCAGCCUCUUGCCCUUCCCCUUGGUUGGAUAACUCUUCCUUACCCAUCAAGACUCAGGUUAAAGGCGCUUCGUCCUGAAUUAGGUCCCCUUGCUUUGUGCUCCCUCUACUCUCCCUGUCAUAACACUCAUCAUGCUUGGUUGUAAUUACAUUUUUAAUGUCCAAUCUUGCCGCUAGAUUGUAAGAUCCCUGAGGACAGGGUUCAUGCUUGUCUUUUUACCACUCUGUACCUAACACCCAGCACAGUGCCUGACCCACAGGAGGUGUGCAAUACAUGUUUGCUAAAUUGAAAUGAAAUUGAAGUUUAUUUGAUCACUACCAAUGAUUUGUAGUUGGACCGUAGUGAAACCUGUUAGUUUUACCUCCUACUAUGUGUAGGAAAUUCAUACCUAUAGGCAAAGAAUCACCUACAAAGACUUUCAGAACAGCAUUAUAAUAGAUAAGAAUAGGAGAAUGGAUAAAUAAAUUAUUCUAGGUAUAGUCAUACAAGAGGACAUUUCAAAGUCUAGAUAAAGUUAUAUUUCUGAAGUGUUUUUAUUUAAAUGACAUGGGGAAAUUCUCAUUAUAUUGUGUUAAAUAGUAAUAAAAUU